This 465-nucleotide ribosomal RNA is filed under the name uncultured bacterium. RNAcentral's name for it is "partial 16S ribosomal RNA". It matches the Rfam family "Bacterial small subunit ribosomal RNA", at positions 338 to 795 of the family's 1533-position model. The record is from RNAcentral.
CCUACGGGAGGCAGCAGUAGGGAAUCUUCCACAAUGGGCGAAAGCCUGAUGGAGCAACGCCGCGUGGGUGAAGAAGGUCUUCGGAUCGUAAAACCCUGUUGUUAGAGAAGAUAGUGCGUGAGAGUAACUGUUCCCGUUUCGACGGUAUCUAACCAGAAAGCGCCGGCUAACUACGUGCCAGCAGCCGCGGGAAUACGUAGGUGGCAAGCGUUAUCCGGAGUUAUUGGGCGUAAAGGGAACGCAGGCGGUCUAGUAAGUCUGAUGUGAAAGCCUUCGGCUUAACCGGAGUAGUGCAUUGGAAACUGGUAGACUUGAGUGCAGAAGAGGUGAGUGGAAUUCCAUGUGUAGCGGUGAAAUGCGUAGAGAUAUGGAAGAACACCAGUGGCGAAAGCGGCUCGCUGGACUGUAACUGACGCUGAGGUUCGAAAGCGUGGGUAGCAAACAGGAUUAGAUACCCGAGUAGUC